Coregonus clupeaformis (lake whitefish) is the source of this 126-nucleotide long non-coding RNA. RefSeq lists it as uncharacterized. The record is from RefSeq and is a predicted model, not a curated record. Lineage: Eukaryota; Metazoa; Chordata; Actinopteri; Salmoniformes; Salmonidae. The transcript is spliced from 3 exons.
GACAAAAAUCUCAUUUGAAUAUGGGAUAACAACACUUCUCCCAUCAUUCAUGAAGGCUGAGGAGACAGAGACUUGGGAGGAGGAAGAAAAAUAAUAUGGCGGAUACAAGGUUUAUGGAAGGUGAGG